Molecule: unclassified non-coding RNA, 400 nt
Filed under: soil metagenome
Description: partial contains 5.8S ribosomal RNA, internal transcribed spacer 2, and large subunit ribosomal RNA
Rfam family: 5.8S ribosomal RNA (bases 1-122)
Source: RNAcentral
GAUGAAGAACGUAGCGAAAUGCGAUACUUGGUGUGAAUUGCAGAAUCCCGUGAACCAUCGAGUCUUUGAACGCAAGUUGCGCCUCAAGCCAUUAGGUUGAGGGCACGUCUGCCUGGGCGUCACAUAUCGUUGCCUGAUGCCAGUUUCCUCGUGAUGGGUGACUGUGCAGGGCGAAUGAUGGCUUCCCGUGAGCCUUGUUGCCUCAUGGUUGGUUGAAAAUUGAGUCCUUGGUAGGGAGCGCCGUGAUAGAUGGUGGUUGAGUGACGAACGAGACCCAAUCAUGUGAGACCCCUACCGAAUUUGGCCUUCAUGACCCACAUGCGUCUUUGGAACGCUCAUGACGAGACCACAGGUCAGGCGGGGCUACCCGCUGAGUUUAAGCAUAUCAAUAAGCGGAGGA